Long non-coding RNA from Cuculus canorus (common cuckoo), 1643 nucleotides. RefSeq lists it as uncharacterized. The transcript is spliced from 3 exons. The record is from RefSeq and is a predicted model, not a curated record. Lineage: Eukaryota; Metazoa; Chordata; Aves; Cuculiformes; Cuculidae.
GCCUGUACCCUAGCCUGGUGAUGGAUCCUACGGCCCGAUUUGUGCCACGGUGAGGAUGUGCAGGGCUAAAAAGGCCAGGUACCAGCUCCCUGCUCCAGCUGCCCUGUGCGGGUGUGCGAGGAGCCCUGGAAAACCACGGCACAGGACCACAGCCUGACUGCCGAGGACAUGAGGAAAGUCAACAAGAACGCCUGCCUUUAAGACAUGACAGUUUCUGGUGGAUGUACAGCAUCUUUGAAUAAGGAAUCAGAGAAUUUGCAAGGAUUGAACUUCUAAAAUGUCUGGUGGAUAACAGCUGGAGACCUCAACCUAAGUACGGAGGGCACUACCAAUGUUGCUGUCUGAAUGCAUUUACCAUGUAAGUAAUUCAGCCUUAUGCCUGAACAGAGGAAUAUAACCAUCACAGCUUCGCUGUAAUGGAGCUGUGUGCUAUUUUCCAUUCAUUACAUCACUUCACUCUAUCUUUUAUCUGAUCAUCCCAGCAGAAGCAGAUCCUAACCUCUGCAGACUGUAUACUCCCUCUGAGGUGUUGCAGCUGCUAAGUGCUGAGUUAGCUGUGACUUUGUGAUCUUAAUUGUACAUCCUGAAUAUUGCAUUGGGCAGGUUUUCCAUGCUUAUAUACUCUCGGUUCCCUAUGUUUCACUGAAAUCAGUUAAGGAUCAUUCUUUUGUAUUGUCCCAAGUACAUCUGAAUUUUAAAAUAAAGGACACGGCAAGCGUUCUGUUUGAGUGGAAUAUACAUAGAUUGAAAGACCAUGCUCUGUUGCUGGGGACAAAAGUACUCUGCACAGAAUAUUUGGCUUCUGUUUUUAAUCAAUAUAAUACAGAAGUAUUCUUUUUAACCACGUUGGCUAGUGAGUGUAUUUUAUAGUGCUCCGUGAGUCUGAUUACAGCUCCAAAUUGGUUUACUCCCAGCUACGGUUUUCUACUAGACCACAAGAAACAAUGUUUUGUUAUUUUAAUUGCUAAGGUUGGAAAAUUUGCAGUUUAAUUUUAUGACUAAGUCAGUUCACUUCUAGCUUCUACAUAUGUAUUUUGCUCCUCGUUUCAUAUUAAAAUGUUUCAGACAAUGGUCUGAAAGGAGAAUGCUUUGAAGGACUAUGACAGAGAAGGGAAUGUGAGUCCUGGGUGUCGAGGGUAGGACACUGCCUUUGGGCUGAAUGGCAGAAUUUGCUGUGCAAAUUCUCUUGCUGGCAGCAUUUCCUUGGCACUGUUUGCUCAUUAGGGCUCUGCUUCCAUAGCACACUUUUAAACAUGAGGAAAAGUUCACCCCUGUGAAUGAACAAAGAGAAACAUAUAUUCAUCUAGAAGUCAAGCAUGUGCUCAUGAGUUGAACUAAAUUUGGGACAAUAAGAGAGAGAAUGCCUGUGCAUCUAAAAGUAUCGGAGAAGCUGUCCCGGGGAUUCACGUAUCUUUUGCUCAUUAUUUAUAUUAUUUCUGAGUGCUUCAGACAUUGCUGCUUGUUAUCCAACCCAGUGACAUUUCAUAGUUGUCUUCCUAAGUGCUGCUAAAAAGAAAAGCUGAGAUAUUGGGACACUAUUAUGUGCCAGAGAUUGAACUCCAUAUCUCCAGGACUGCAGAUGCAGAGAGCCCAGAAUAUAAAAAUGGGGAAAAAAUAAAGUUUUUUCUUCUUGUACAAGUGGU